Callithrix jacchus (white-tufted-ear marmoset) is the source of this 762-nucleotide long non-coding RNA. RefSeq lists it as uncharacterized. Lineage: Eukaryota; Metazoa; Chordata; Mammalia; Primates; Cebidae. The record is from RefSeq and is a predicted model, not a curated record.
UUGUCGAGCCACACUGAUGGAUGGGCCUGGAAUGGCCUUGUUUGCUGCCAGGGCGAUGCGCGGCAGCUGCUUAACAGCCCUGUGAGUGACCCUGGUCAGCACUUUCAAGGCAGGAAGCACAGAAGAAUAGAGUGUCCACUUAAAGCUACCACAAAAGCGGUGGGAGGAGGAACUUCCUCCCCUUGUAAACAGGCCAGCAGGCUGGUCACUGUAAUUACGCACACACAAAUGAGGGAGCAGGGGAAAGAGGAUGAAUGGAAGCAAAGCUCUCAAGCAACCCUAGAGUGGCCCCUCGUUGCCCUAGAACACAACUGAAACCUGCAACCCCGUGCACCUUGAACACAGGACAAGGUCUCCAUCACAGAACCUAAGAGGGUAGAGAAAAAAUCCUUCCUUCUCCUGACGUGACAAAUCAGAAAGAAAACACACCCAGAAAAAGCCACUACUCAUGAUGAAAAUUAGUAAGAUACUAAUGGAGUCCCACUCUGUCGCUAGGCUGGAGUGCGGUGGCUCACCACAACCUCCGCCUCCUGGGUUCAAGCAAUUCUCCUGCCUCAGCCUCCCAAGUAACUGGGACUACACGUACAUGCCACCACACCCAGUUUUAGUUACAGGACCUCCAGAAAUUCUGGAUUAACGAAGAUUGGAAACAUCAUUUGCAAAUGCUUCCCAGGUCACCUUACAAUCUCAAGAUAAUUAUUCUUCUAUUAAACAGAGGAUACAGAAGACGCUGUAUUACAAGGCCUGCGUAAAAAUGUAUUA